UACGUAGGGGGCAAGCGUUAUCCGGAUUUACUGGGUGUAAAGGGAGCGUAGACGGCAGUGCAAGUCUGAAGUGAAAUUUCGCGGCUCAACCGCGAAACUGCUUUGGAAACUGUACAGCUAGAGUACCGGAGGGGUAAGCGGAAUUCCUAGUGUAGCGGUGAAAUGCGUAGAUAUUAGGAAGAACACCGGUGGCGAAGGCGGCUUACUGGACGGUAACUGACGUUGAGGCUCGAAAGCGUGGGGAGCAAACAGG
RNAcentral lists this ribosomal RNA (253 nucleotides) under uncultured Lachnospiraceae bacterium. Its description in RNAcentral is "partial 16S ribosomal RNA". It matches the Rfam family "Bacterial small subunit ribosomal RNA", at positions 524 to 776 of the family's 1533-position model. The record is from RNAcentral. Lineage: Bacteria; Bacillati; Bacillota; Clostridia; Lachnospirales; Lachnospiraceae.